This 28-nucleotide non-coding RNA is filed under the name Homo sapiens (human). The record is from RNAcentral. Lineage: Eukaryota; Metazoa; Chordata; Mammalia; Primates; Hominidae.
UGCUCUAGGCCUUUCAACAAGAGCCUCA